GAUGAAGAACGUAGUGAAAUGCGAUAAGUAAUGUGAAUUGCAGAAUUCAGUGAAUCAUCGAAUCUUUGAACGCACCUUGCGCUCCUUGGUAUUCCGAGGAGCAUGCCUGUUUGAGUGUCAUGAAAUUCUCAACCUUUUCAGCUUUCUUUGUUGAUCAGGCUUGGAUGUGGGAGUAUGCGGGCUUCUCAGAAGUCGGCUCUCCUGAAAUGCAUUAGCGGGACCUUUGUUGCCUGGCUUUGGUGUGAUAAUUAUCUACGCCAUUGUAGUCAAGCAGCUUAAAAUGAGGUUUCAGCUUCUAACCGUCUCCCCUGAGACAACUUUUUGACAAUUUGACCUCAAAUCAGGUAGGACUACCCGCUGAACUUAAGCAUAUCAAAAGCGGAGA
Molecule: unclassified non-coding RNA, 385 nt
Filed under: soil metagenome
Description: partial contains 5.8S ribosomal RNA, internal transcribed spacer 2, and large subunit ribosomal RNA
Rfam family: 5.8S ribosomal RNA (bases 1-120)
Source: RNAcentral